AUGGGGGAGGAGAUAAAUCUGGCCGGCGCCGGCGGAGGGGAGGUGAAGCAGGAGGUGGGGGAGGAGGAGGAGAUCGAGUUCGAGCCGACGGAGGACGAGCUGGUGCUGCACUUCCUCCGGCCGCAGCUGCGCGGGUUCGCGCCGCGCGUGGCGGGCGCGGUGGUGGAGGCGGACCCGUGCGCCGCGCCGCCGUGGGAGCUGCUGGAGCGGCACGGGCUGCUGCGGCGCGGGCACGGCUACUUCUUCGCGGCGCGGCGGCGCGGGAAGGGCGCCCAGGCGCGGCGCACCCCGGAGGGCGGCGGCGGCACGUGGAUGCACAGCGGCAACAGGGAGGACCGGCGGUCCGUGACGGAGCUGGGCGUGGUGGCGCGCUGGUCCAUGACGCGGUACUGCUUCUACGCACGCGACGGGGCGCAGGGGCGGCGGAGCACCGGGUGGGUGAUGUCCGAGUACGAGAUCACGGACCCGCGGUGCUACCGCCGCGCCGACGACGGCGAGGAGGACCACUACUGGGUGCUCUGCCACGUCCGCCGGAGCACCAGGAAGAACGUCAAGCCGCGCUCCCGGAGGCGGUAG
This 576-nucleotide ribosomal RNA is filed under the name Triticum aestivum (bread wheat). RNAcentral describes it as "partial small subunit ribosomal RNA". The record is from RNAcentral. Lineage: Eukaryota; Viridiplantae; Streptophyta; Magnoliopsida; Poales; Poaceae.